Molecule: long non-coding RNA, 880 nt
Organism: Oncorhynchus keta (chum salmon)
Lineage: Eukaryota; Metazoa; Chordata; Actinopteri; Salmoniformes; Salmonidae
Exons: 4
Source: RefSeq, a predicted model, not a curated record
GCAGAAGGUCAAUAAUCUGGAGAAGGUAUAAAGGGCCCAGAACGGCAGGCAGUCUCAGGGUCAGGGGAGGCAGAAGGUCAAUAAUCUGGAGAAGGUAUAAAGGGCCCAGAACGGCAGGCAGUCUCAGGGUCAGGGGAGGCAGAAGGUCAAUAAUCUGGAGAAGGUAUAAAGGGCCCAGAACGGCAGGCAGUCUCAGGGUCAGGGGAGGCAGAAGGUCAAUAAUCUGGAGAAGGUAUAAAGGGCCCAGAACGGCAGGCAGUCUCAGGGUCAGGGGAGGCAGAAGGUCAAUAAUCUGGAGAAGGUAUAAAGGGCCCAGAACGGCAGGCAGUCUCAGGGUCAGGGGAGGCAGAAGGUCAAUAAUCUGGAGAGGGUAUAAAGGGCCCAGAACGGCAGGCAGUCUCAGGGUCAGGGGAGGCAGAAGGUCAAUAAUCUGGAGAAGGUAUAAAGGGCCCAGAACGGCAGGCAGUCUCAGGGUCAGGGGAGGCAGAAGGUCAAUAAUCUGGAGAAGGUAUAAAGGGCCCAGAACGGCAGGCAGUCUCAGGGUCAGGGGAGGCAGAAGGUCAAUAAUCUGGAGAAGGUAUAAAGGGCCCAGAACGACAGGCAGUCUCGGGGUCAGGGGAGGCAGAAGGUCAAUAAUCUGGAGAAGGUAUAAAGGGCCCAGAACGGCAGGCAGUCUCAGGGUCAGGGGAGGCAGAAGGUCAAUAAUCUGGAGAAGGUAUAAAGGGCCCAGAACGACAGGCAGUCUCGGGGUCAGGGGAGGCAGAAGGUCAAUAAUCUGGAGAAGGUAUAAAGGGCCCAGAACGGCAGGCAGUCUCAGGGUCAGGGGAGGCAGAAGGUCAAUAAUCUGGAGAAGGUAUAAAGGGCCCAGAACGGCAGGCAG